Molecule: ribosomal RNA, 248 nt
Filed under: uncultured bacterium
Lineage: Bacteria
Description: partial 16S ribosomal RNA
Rfam family: Bacterial small subunit ribosomal RNA
Source: RNAcentral
CAUGCCGUAAACGAUGAUUGCUAGGUGUGGGUGGUCUGACCCCAUCCGUGCCGGAGCUAACGCAAUAAGCAAUCCACCUGGGGAGUACGGCCGCAAGGUUGAAACUCAAAGGAAUUGACGGGGGCCCGCACAAGCAGUGGAGUAUGUGGUUUAAUUCGAAGCAACGCGAAGAACCUUACCAGGUCUUGACAUCCAACGAAUUCUGUGGAGACACGGAAGUGCCCUUCGGGGAGCGUUGAGACAGGUGG